Molecule: ribosomal RNA, 279 nt
Filed under: uncultured bacterium
Lineage: Bacteria
Description: partial 16S ribosomal RNA
Rfam family: Bacterial small subunit ribosomal RNA
Source: RNAcentral
UGCCAGCAGCCGCGGUAAUACGUACUGUGCGAACGUUAUUCGGAAUCACUGGGCUUAAAGGGUGCGUAGGCGGUCCAGCAAGUCAGAUGUGAAAGCCCCCGGCCCAACCGGGGAAUUGCGUUUGAAACUGUUGGACUUGAGUACGAUAGGGGUGUGCGGAACUUCCAGUGGAGCGGUGAAAUGUGUUGAUAUUGGAAGGAACGCCGGUGGCGAAAGCGGCACACUGGGUCUUAACUGACGCUGAGGCACGAAAGCCAGGGGAGCGAACGGGAUUAGAUA